AAUAUUGGACAAUGGGGGGAACCCUGAUCCGGCCAUGCCGCGUGGCUGAAGAGGGGCUGGGGCUUUGAAGGCACUAUAAGUUGGGAGUAAGGGUUUUAGUUUAAUACCGUGAGGUGUUGACGUUACCAACAGAAUAAGCACCGGCUAACUCUGUGCCAGCAGCCGCGGUAAUACAGAGGGUGCAAGCGUUAAUCGGAAUUACUGGGCGUAAAGCGCGCGUAGGUGGUUCAGUAAGAUGGGUGUGAAAUCCCCGGGCUUAACCUGGGAACUGCUUUCAUAACUGCUGAGCUAGAGUACGGUAGAGGGUAGUGGAAUUUCCUGUGUAGCGGUGAAAUGCGUAGAUAUAGGAAGGAACACCAGUGGCGAAGGCGACUACCUGGACUGAUACUGACACUGAGGUGCGAAAGCGUGGGGAGCAAAC
RNAcentral lists this ribosomal RNA (421 nucleotides) under uncultured bacterium. RNAcentral's name for it is "partial 16S ribosomal RNA". It matches the Rfam family "Bacterial small subunit ribosomal RNA", at positions 360 to 773 of the family's 1533-position model. The record is from RNAcentral.